AGUCAAUCAACGAUGAAAGAUACCUUUUAAAUGGCAGUAUUGAUCAGGGAGAAAAACAUAACUGAAAGUUUUUCAUAAGGACAUUUAAUUGACCACUUUCUAGAGGCUUAAGUCAGUCGGGUCGUUUCCGUUAAAGACGCUUAAAGUUGGAGAAUCACCAUUUGAUUCUCAAUCUGGGUGGAACCGCGAAAUCAAUUCGUCCCUGGG
RNAcentral lists this non-coding RNA (207 nucleotides) under Latilactobacillus sakei. The record is from RNAcentral. Lineage: Bacteria; Bacillati; Bacillota; Bacilli; Lactobacillales; Lactobacillaceae.